Molecule: ribosomal RNA, 765 nt
Filed under: Fortunia byrrhoides
Lineage: Eukaryota; Metazoa; Arthropoda; Insecta; Hemiptera; Issidae
Also listed under: 2 other names
Description: SSU rRNA
Rfam family: Eukaryotic small subunit ribosomal RNA
Source: RNAcentral
AUAAACUAUGCCUGCCAGCGAUCCGCCGAAGUUCCUCCGAUGACUCGGCGGGCAGCUUCCGGGAAACCAGAGCUUUUGGGUUCCGGGGGAAGUAUGGUUGCAAAGCUGAAACUUAAAGGAAUUGACGGAAGGGCACCACCAGGAGUGGAGCCUGCGGCUUAAUUUGACUCAACACGGGAAAACUCACCAGGCCCGGACACCGGAAGGAUUGACAGAUUGAGAGCUCUUUCUUGAUUCGGUGGGUGGUGGUGCAUGGCCGUUCUUAGUUGGUGGAGCGAUUUGUCUGGUUAAUUCCGAUAACGAACGAGACUCUAGCCUACUAACUAGGCGUACCCGGUAUCCACAAUCGUGCUACCGGCGAUCAAAUUUCUUCUUAGAGGGACAGGCGGCUUCUAGCCGCACGAGACUGAGCAAUAACAGGUCUGUGAUGCCCUUAGAUGUCCUGGGCCGCACGCGCGCUACACUGAAGGAAUCAGCGUGUCUUCCCUGUCCGAAAGGACCGGGUAACCCGCUGAACCUCCUUUGUGCUAGGGAUUGGGGCUUGCAAUUGUUCCCCAUGAACGAGGAAUUCCCAGUAAGCGCGAGUCAUAAGCUCGCGUUGAUUACGUCCCUGCCCUUUGUACACACCGCCCGUCGCUACUACCGAUUGAAUGAUUUAGUGAGGUCUUCGGACUGGUGCGCGGAGGCCGCUUCGCGGUCUCCGAUGUUGCCGGAAAGAUGACCAAACUUGAUCAUUUAGAGGAAGUAAAAGUCGUAACAAGGUUU